Molecule: long non-coding RNA, 835 nt
Filed under: Homo sapiens (human)
Lineage: Eukaryota; Metazoa; Chordata; Mammalia; Primates; Hominidae
Description: long non-coding RNA NONHSAT213306.1
Source: RNAcentral
UAAGCUUUGAAACCACAGAAGAAAGUUUGAGGAACUACUACGAACAAUGGGGAAAGCUUACAGACUGUGUGGUAAUGAGGGAUCCUGCAAGCAAAAGAUCAAGAGGAUUUGGUUUUGUAACUUUUUCAUCCAUGGCUGAGGUUGAUGCUGCCAUGGCUGCAAGACCUCAUUCAAUUGAUGGGAGAGUAGUUGAGCCAAAACGUGCUGUAGCAAGAGAGGAAUCUGGAAAACCAGGGGCUCAUGUAACUGUGAAGAAGCUGUUUGUUGGCGGAAUUAAAGAAGAUACUGAGGAACAUCACCUUAGAGAUUACUUUGAGGAAUAUGGAAAAAUUGAUACCAUUGAGAUAAUUACUGAUAGGCAGUCUGGAAAGAAAAGAGGCUUUGGCUUUGUUACUUUUGAUGACCAUGAUCCUGUGGAUAAAAUCGUAUUGCAGAAAUACCAUACCAUCAAUGGUCAUAAUGCAGAAGUAAGAAAGGCUUUGUCUAGACAAGAAAUGCAGGAAGUUCAGAGUUCUAGGAGUGGAAGAGGAGGCAACUUUGGCUUUGGGGAUUCACGUGGUGGCGGUGGAAAUUUCGGACCAGGACCAGGAAGUAACUUUAGAGGAGGAUCUGAUGGAUAUGGCAGUGGACGUGGAUUUGGGGAUGGCUAUAAUGGGUAUGGAGGAGGACCUGGAGGUGACAUGUGAAACCUUUUUUAAGAUUUUUCUCAAAGUUUUGAAAAGCUAUUAGCCAGGAUCAUGGUGUAAUAAGACAUAACGUUUUUCCUUUAAAAAAAUUUAAGUGCGUGUGUAGAGUUAAGAAGCUGUUGUACAUUUAUGAUUUAAUAAAAUAAUUC